UGCCUGUUUGAGUGUCAUGAAACCUCACCCCACUUGGGUUUUUGCCCGAGCGGUGGUGGAUUGGGCGUCUGCCGUCAAUGGCUCGCCUGAAAAGCAUAAGCAACUUUGGAUGUAAUACGUUUCAUCCUUUCGAGUGGCUGACAACCCCACAUAUCUCAUGAUCUGGCCUCAAAUCAGGUAGGGCUACCCGCUGAACUUAA
Molecule: unclassified non-coding RNA, 200 nt
Filed under: soil metagenome
Description: partial contains internal transcribed spacer 2 and large subunit ribosomal RNA
Source: RNAcentral